UACGGAGGAUGCGAGCGUUAUCCGGAUUUAUUGGGUUUAAAGGGUGCGCAGGCGGCGUGUCAAGUCAGCGGUCAAACUGCGGGGCUCAACCCCGUAUCGCCGUUGAAACUGGCGCGCUCGAGUUCGUGCGAGGGAGGCGGAAUGCGCGGUGUAGCGGUGAAAUGCAUAGAUAUCGCGCAGAACCCCGAUUGCGAAGGCAGCUUUCCAGCACGCGACUGACGCUCAUGCACGAAAGCGUGGGUAUCGAACA
RNAcentral lists this ribosomal RNA (250 nucleotides) under uncultured prokaryote. RNAcentral describes it as "partial 16S ribosomal RNA". It matches the Rfam family "Bacterial small subunit ribosomal RNA", at positions 524 to 774 of the family's 1533-position model. The record is from RNAcentral.